GACGAACGCUGGCGGCGUGCUUAACACAUGCAAGUCGAACGGAAAGGCCCUGCUUUUGUGGGGUGCUCGAGUGGCGAACGGGUGAGUAACACGUGAGUAACCUGCCCUUGACUUUGGGAUAACUUCAGGAAACUGGGGCUAAUACCGGAUAGGAGCUCCUGCUGCAUGGUGGGGGUUGGAAAGUUUCGGCGGUUGGGGAUGGACUCGCGGCUUAUCAGCUUGUUGGUGGGGUAGUGGCUUACCAAGGCUUUGACGGGUAGCCGGCCUGAGAGGGUGACCGGCCACAUUGGGACUGAGGUACGGCCCAGACUCCUACGGGAGGCAGCAGUGGGGAAUAUUGCACAAGGGGCGGAAGCGUGAUGGAGCAACGCCGCGUGCGGGAUGACGGCCUUCGGGUUGUAAACCGCUUUCGCCUGUGACGAAGCGUGAGUGGCGGUAAUGGGUAAAGAAGCACCGGCUACCUACGU
Molecule: ribosomal RNA, 467 nt
Filed under: uncultured bacterium
Lineage: Bacteria
Description: partial 16S ribosomal RNA
Rfam family: Bacterial small subunit ribosomal RNA
Source: RNAcentral